This 272-nucleotide long non-coding RNA is filed under the name Ananas comosus (pineapple). RNAcentral's name for it is "long non-coding RNA (ACOM_LNC040867)". Lineage: Eukaryota; Viridiplantae; Streptophyta; Magnoliopsida; Poales; Bromeliaceae. The record is from RNAcentral.
CUGUGGUUUCGUUUUUAUCUUUUCAGAAGCUUUUUCGUUAAUAUUUCGUUAAAUUAUAUACAAAAAACUUCAGAUAAUCAUCUAUGUUUAUCGAAUAUUCACUUUAGUAUCCUUUAAUUUUAAUUUUGUUACUGAUUUAAGAAAAAAAAAAUAAUAAAAUUGAUAACAAAAAGAGAAAAAUGAAACCACAGGGGGGCAAAUUGAUACGUUUUAAACCACAGGGUAUGAAAGUGAGAAUGCAUGAAACCACAGGGGGGGUUUUUGAAGUUUUU